AGACUCUGCUUCCGUUUCUACCACUGCACCUAUAUGCUUUGACAGAGCACUAAUGUUAGCGGUGGUUUAUAUACGCCUUAGCAGAUGGAAUAAACCGAUGCAGAAAGAGCAUAUGCUUCAAGGCUUAUGGAAAGCCAUAUUCCAUCGUCCCCGUCUCUUGUUGGUAAAUGUGGAGAAAAGCAAUGCAAAGGAGAUGCUGUCUAAAAGAUGGAAUGGACUUUUUUCAGAAUCAUGAAUCGGCAUAUCCUUAGUGAUAUUCCUCCGAGUUAUUUUGUUGCCUUUUCAAAGCUAGGAAUUUCAUCCUCUUCAUUGAGAAGGUCAGUCAAGGUUGAGGGGCACCGACAAAGUAUACUUCAACAAGGACUGUAUUGUGCUGUUGGGGUACCUAAAUUGGGAGAUGGGCUGUGAUUUCACUACUCUUUUAAGGAUUUCCAUGCCUUGCACGCACUUGUGCAGGUCCCU
Molecule: long non-coding RNA, 462 nt
Organism: Salvia miltiorrhiza (redroot sage)
Lineage: Eukaryota; Viridiplantae; Streptophyta; Magnoliopsida; Lamiales; Lamiaceae
Exons: 3
Source: RefSeq, a predicted model, not a curated record